Long non-coding RNA from Octopus sinensis (East Asian common octopus), 167 nucleotides. RefSeq lists it as uncharacterized. The record is from RefSeq and is a predicted model, not a curated record. The transcript is spliced from 3 exons. NCBI's taxonomy places the organism in Eukaryota, Metazoa, Mollusca, Cephalopoda, Octopoda, Octopodidae.
UAUAUGUAUAUGGGUGGAGGCCCAAUGGCCCAAUGGUUGGGGCAGCGAACUCGCGGUCGGAGGAUCGCGGUGUCGAUUCCCAGACCGGUCGUUGUGUGUGUUUAUUGAACGAAAACACCUAAAGCUCCACAAGACUCCGGCAGGGGGUGGUGGCGACCCAUGUUGUA